This 468-nucleotide ribosomal RNA is filed under the name uncultured bacterium. RNAcentral describes it as "partial 16S ribosomal RNA". It matches the Rfam family "Bacterial small subunit ribosomal RNA", at positions 28 to 507 of the family's 1533-position model. The record is from RNAcentral.
GACGAACGCUGGCGGCGUGCUUAACACAUGCGAGUCGAACGGAAAGGCCCUGCUUUUGUGGGGUGCUCGAGUGGCGAACGGGUGAGUAACACGUGAGUAACCUGCCCUUGACUUUGGGAUAACUUCAGGAAACUGGGGCUAAUACCGGAUAGGAGCUCCUGCUGCAUGGGGGGGGUUGGAAAGUUUCGGCGGUUGGGGAUGGACUCUCGGCUUAUCAGCUUGUUGGUGGGGUAGUGGCUUACCAAGGCUUUGACGGGUAGCCGGCCUGAGAGGGUGACCGGCCACAUUGGGACUGAGAUACGGCCCAGACUCCUACGGGAGGCAGCAGUGGGGAAUAUUGCACAAUGGGCGGAAGCCUGAUGCAGCAACGCCGCGUGCGGGAUGACGGCCUUCGGGUUGUAAACCGCUUUCGCCUGUGACGAAGCGUGAGUGACGGUAAUGGGUAAAGAAGCACCGGCUAACUACGUG